AAAACACCUAAAAACGCUCCAACAAUCCAACUUGAAUGGCAAGCACGUCCAAGGGUCCUCAUUUUUCUCUUUGUUGCGGCACAAGGUGUGGUUUGAUGGAUGAGUGGUAAAUUAUGGUGGCGGAUGGAUAUAGGUGAGUUAUGGUGAAGGGUGGAUGGGUGGAUGGGUGGAUUGUGUUCUCCCGGCCAAAGAAUGAAAGUGUAAGUGUAUGGAGUUGUGAGAUGUGAAUGUAGUGUCUUUUGAUGGAUCUUUUCUCCUCCCCUUCUUGUUAACGUGAAGGGUGGAUGUAUUUAUAGGCUAGGGAGAGGACCACCAUCUAAUUAAGGGUGUAGUGGAUGAAUGUUUGGUAAUGAGUGGAUGUAAUGGGUGUAGUGAGUGAAUGUUUGGUAAUGAGUGGAUGUAAUGGGUGUAGUGGAUGGAUGUUUGGUAUGAGUGGAUGUAAUGGGUGUAGUGGAUGG
Molecule: long non-coding RNA, 458 nt
Filed under: Malus domestica (apple)
Lineage: Eukaryota; Viridiplantae; Streptophyta; Magnoliopsida; Rosales; Rosaceae
Description: long non-coding RNA (MDOM_LNC020181)
Source: RNAcentral